CCCCUAGAUGUUCUGGGCCGCACGCGCGCUACACUGAACAGUUCAACAAGUCUUAACCUUGGCCGAUAGGUCUGGGUAAUCUUUGAACGCUGUUCGUGAUUGGGAUAGACCUUUGCAAUUAUGGGUCUUCAACGAGGAAUUCCUAGUAAACGCAAGUCAUCAGCUUGCAUUGAUUACGUCUCUGCCCUUUGUACACACCGCCCGUCGCACCUACCGAUUGAAUGGUCCGGUGAAAUCUCGGGACGGCGGCUUGGUCGCUUGCGUCCGACUGCUGAAACUUGAUUAAACCAUAUCAUUUAGAGGAAGGUGAANUCGUAACA
This 320-nucleotide ribosomal RNA is filed under the name uncultured eukaryote. RNAcentral describes it as "partial 18S ribosomal RNA". It matches the Rfam family "Eukaryotic small subunit ribosomal RNA", at positions 1470 to 1796 of the family's 1831-position model. The record is from RNAcentral.